GCAGAUCUGCAUCCUAAUCUUACAGCAGAUAUACAUUAAAACAUGCCAUAGGAAAGAAACAUAAACCCAAAAACUAAUUAUGAGCCAGCAAUCCAAUACAUAAACUAAUUUAUUUCUCUUUUCAACUUCCCAAAUUGAGUGCUACAUUGUAUGAAUUAUAGAGGUAUGUACCUGAGAGAUAAAAAGGAAAUAAGAAGCAAGUGAGAAUCAACAAACGAACAAUAGCAGCAGCACAGUAAGGCUCAACAUAAACUAUCCAUCGCAACCAUAAGAAUAGUGUGGAAAUAACCCAGAUUCAAAUCACCUCCACCUCAAAGGAUCAGAAAUUGGUCCAACGAUUGUAAAAAUCCAGAAAAAUCCCCUCAAAUUUCAAUGAAAUAGUACUUUUGGUUUUCAGGAGUUUGACUCUUCAAGUUGGUGAAACAGUAAAAUCUCUACAGCUUGUUGUAUUUUUAACUCUUAAAAGUUUCUAUAAAACAGUAAAAUUAAUGUAGCUUUUUUCUUUAUAUUUUUGGUUUUUCAUAUUUCUCCUUCUCUUCAGAUUUUCUCUUAAGGUCUCUAAGGUCUGUCCAAAAAUCUCCUCUCUAGAGCCAGAAGGAGUGCCUUUAUAGGCCAGCAAAAAUAGGGUAGCCCUACAGCUUGGUUAUUUCAACUUGGUCCCUCAUUUUUAAACUUGUUAAACAAGUCAUAAAACCAAAAUUAACAAAAAAUCCCUGCUAGAAUCUUCCAGGUCAGUUAUGAAAGAUUCCCCAACCCCAAAUGCCUAAACUACCCCUGAACUAGGUCUGAAUUACUAACCUAGGCUAAACCAAAAUCAAUUCCAACUACACCAGCACCUUUAACCUUGGUCAAUGCUGACCAUGAUUAAUUUCAAAGGAUUUUAAUUUUCAAUCACAACCAUACGACAUUCAAUUACAACCAGACCCCUAAAUUGGACUGCAAAUUCGACUAACCUAAUUUUAAACUUGAAUUAACUUUGAUUAACUAAUUUUGAUCUUAAAUUAACUACUAAUAUAAACUAAAAUCUACCAGUGGAAAUUAUGGAUUAAACAUGAACCUAAGAGAAUAAGCAAAAAUUAAUUGACAAUACUAGAUCAUAAGCUUGAAUGACUUAAAACGAGUAGAGAAACAAAACAAAACUAUGCUUAAAUUAUUAUUAAUGACAGAGAAACCACAUAAAGGAAAUAAAAACUUACUUAUCAAGGUUGGACAAGGCUGAACUCCUAUUCGAGCCCCGGAAUGAUGUAAGCAUUUGUUCUUUACCAAGAACAAACGAACAUAUUAUUUCGUGGCCCGAGUCGGACUCUAGACUCAGGGAAUUGGGAAGAACUCAAACAAUUCGAACUUCUAGGGUUCUGCCACUCUGAGAUUUGAAAUUCAAGAAGCUCUGGUAACAUUCAAAAGAAACCAGUUAGAGGUUCGGGAAGAGGGGAUGAGGAGAAUUUAGGAUGUAAGUUUGGAGUCAUUUGAGGUCGGCAUUGCCGUGGGUGGCGGAGCAGCCUAUGCUUCAAACAAAUAUUCGACGUGUUUGUCUGCUAUUCGAAAGGUAUCAAUGGUAGAAAUGGAAAGAGGAGGUAAAGGAGGUGGGAUGGUGUAAUUUUGGAGGUCAUCAGAGCAUCGCCGCCGCCGCCGGCGGAGGGCAGUGGGAUUAGGGUUUGGGUCUGAGAAACAAA
This 1673-nucleotide long non-coding RNA is filed under the name Nicotiana benthamiana. RNAcentral's name for it is "long non-coding RNA (NBEN_LNC028659)". The record is from RNAcentral. Lineage: Eukaryota; Viridiplantae; Streptophyta; Magnoliopsida; Solanales; Solanaceae.